Molecule: ribosomal RNA, 449 nt
Filed under: uncultured bacterium
Lineage: Bacteria
Description: bacterial SSU rRNA
Rfam family: Bacterial small subunit ribosomal RNA
Source: RNAcentral
CCAGACUCCUACGGGAGGCAGCAGUGGGGAAUAUUGGACAAUGGGGGGGACCCUGAUCCAGCGACGCCGCGUGAGUGAAGAAGUAUUUCGGUAUGUAAAGCUCUAUCAGCAGGGAAGAAAGAAAUGACGGUACCUGACUAAGAAGCCCCGACUAACUACGUGCCAGCAGCCGCGGUAAUACGUAGGGGGCAAGCGUUAUCCGGAUUUACUGGGUGUAAAGGGAGCGUAGACGGCGAUGCAAGUCUGAAGUGAAAGGCGGGGGCCCAACCCCGGAACUGCUUUGGAAACUGUGCAGCUAGAGUGCAGGAGAGGUAAGUGGAAUUCCUAGUGUAGCGGUGAAAUGCGUAGAUAUUAGGAGGAACACCAGUGGCGAAGGCGGCUUACUGGACUGUAACUGACGUUGAGGCUCGAAAGCGUGGGGAGCAAACAGGAUUAGAUACCCUAGUAGA